Molecule: ribosomal RNA, 1496 nt
Filed under: uncultured Bordetella sp.
Lineage: Bacteria; Pseudomonadati; Pseudomonadota; Betaproteobacteria; Burkholderiales; Alcaligenaceae
Description: partial 16S-23S ribosomal RNA intergenic spacer
Rfam family: Bacterial small subunit ribosomal RNA
Source: RNAcentral
UGGCUGUUCCAGAUGUAAUUUGCAGGCAACAGAGAGUCUGAUCAAGUGGCCCAGAUUGAACGCCGGUGGAUGCUUUACAUUAUGCAAGCUGAACGGCGCACGACUCCUGGUCUGGUGGCGAGUAUGGAACGGGUGAGUAAUGUAUCGGAACGUGCCUAGUAGCGGGGGAUAACUACGCGAAAUGAGCUAAUACCGCAUACGCCCCUGGGAAAGCGGGGGACCUCUGGGCCUUCAGACUAUUAGAGCGGCCGAUAUCGGAUUAGCUAGUUGAAGAAACGGCUUCCACUGGAAGGCGAUGAUCCGUAGCUGGUUUGAGAGGACGACCAGCCACACUGGGAUCGGAGACACGGCCCAGACUCCUACGGAGUGGCAGUGGGGAAUUUUGGACAAGGAACUCUGAUCCAGUGCCAUCCGCAAGAAGGCCUCUACAAAAGCACUUUGGCAGGAUAAAAGAAACGGCACGGGAUAAUACCCGCAACUGGACGGUACCUGCAGAAUAAGCACCGGCUAACUACGUGCCAGCAGCCGCGGUAAUACGUAGGGUGCAAGCGUUAAUCGGAAUUACUGGGCGCAAGGCGCAAUGGUCUGAAAGAAAGAUGUGAAAUCCUAGAGCUUAACUUUGGAACUGCAUUUUUAACUACCGAGCUUAGAGUGUGUCAGAGGGAGGUGGAAUUCCGCGUAGCAGUGAAAUGCGUAGAUAUGCGGAGGAACACCGAUGGCGAAGGCAGCCUCCUGGGAUAACACUGACGCUCAUGCACGAAAGCGUGGGGAGCAAACAGGAUUAGAUACUCUUAUAGGUCCACGCCCAAACGAUGGGUACUAAUCAUUGUUGGGCCUUCGGGUAUUUGGUAGCGCAGCUAAUGCGUGAAGCUUAAUCGCCUUGGGGAGGCUGGUCGCAAGAUUAAACUCAAAGGAAUUGACGGGACUCCGUACGUUGCGGGAUGAUAGGAUUAAUUCGACAAACGCGAAAACCUGUCCUACCCUUGACAUGUCUGGAAUCCCGAAGAGAUUUGGGAGUGCUCGCAAGAGAACCGGAACACAGGUGCUGCAUGGCUGUCGUCAGCUCGUGUCGUGAGAUGUUGGGUUAAGUCCCGCAACGAGCGCAACCCUUGUCAUUAGUUGCUACGAAAGGGCACUGGUCGAGAUCGGUGACAAAACCAGAGGAAGGUGGGGAUGACGUCAAGUCCCCAUGUCUUAUGGGUAGGGUUGGGCUUCACACAAGUCAUACAAUGGUCGGGACAGAGGGUCGCCAACCCGCGAGGGGGAGCCAAUCCCAGAAACCCGAUCGUAGUCCGAUCGCAGUCUGCAACUCGACUGCGUGAAGUCGAACCGCUAGUAAUCGCGAUCAGGCACGUCGCGGUGAAUACGUUCCCGGGUCUUGUACACACCGCCCACUACACCAUGGGAGUGGGUUUUACCAGAAGUAGUUAGCCCAACCGUAAGGAGGCGAUUACCACGGUAGGAUUCAUGACUGGGUGAAGUUCGUAACAAGGUAG